AACAUUAAAACCCAAAUCCUGAAUCUCGUGGUGGAGGUAAGUAGGACGAUGUCGCAAGAGAAGCACAUAGAGAAAGUGCUUUUCAGCGCCGAAGUCAUCGCGGAGCGGGUGGAUCAAAUUGGAUCCGAGAUUACCUCUGAUUUCUCCGGCGAAUCGGAGUCGCCUGUUUUUGUCGGCGUAGCCACCGGUGCUUGUCUCUUCUUGGCCGAUCUCGUCAGGCGAAUUGACUUUCCCAUCUCCAUCGAUUUUAUCAGAGCAGACUCUUAUGGCUCAGGUACAGUCUCCAGUGGAACUCCCAGAAUUUCGUUUGACUUAAAGCUGGACAUCACGAACAAACAUGUUAUCUUGGUCGAGGACAUUGUGGAUACUGGCAAUACACUGAACUGCCUAAUAGAGCACCUGAAACUGAAAAAGGCGUCGUCGGUUUCAGUCUGCACUCUACUCGACAAGCCAUCAAGAAGAAAGGUUCAUUUUAAGCUGGUUGGAAACGGGAAAUUCUACAGUGGUUUUGAAUGUCCAGAUGAAUUUGUCGUGGGCUAUGGCAUGGACUUUGCAGAGCAAUACCGCAACCUAUCUUACGUUGGCGUAUUGAAGCCUGAAUAUUACAUGUGACAAACAUGAACUGAAGUCGGUUCAUACUUUAAAAAAGUUACUGGACGAUCAUGAGAUAUUUUAUGACUUGCCCCUGGACAUUGUUGUUCAAAGCAGUAGAUCAAAGUAAGAAGAGGAAGAGAGUUCUUGGCCGGAGGAACAACAAGUCCUUCCGAAUCAUACAAGAUAACGCCGGAGAAAUCUGGAAGCUGGCAUUUUCCUCCCAUGAGAAUGUUCUUCUGCCACAACGGACCUCGUCUCUGAUCCCCACUCAGCA
Eutrema salsugineum is the source of this 868-nucleotide RNA transcript. It is a transcript of the gene named hypoxanthine-guanine phosphoribosyltransferase, with no coding region annotated. The record is from RefSeq and is a predicted model, not a curated record. Lineage: Eukaryota; Viridiplantae; Streptophyta; Magnoliopsida; Brassicales; Brassicaceae. The transcript is spliced from 4 exons.